GGUUCAUUCAAAUUUCUGCCCUAUCAACUUUCGACGGCUGGGUCUUAGCCAGCCAUGGUGACAACGGGUAACGGAGGGUUAGGGCUCGACCCCGGAGAAGGAGCCUGAGAAACGGCUACUACAUCCAAGGAAGGCAGCAGGCGCGCAAAUUACCCAAUCCCGACCGGGGAGGUAGUGACAAUAAAUACUGAUACAGGGCUCUUUUGGGUCUUGUAAUUGGAAUGAGUACAAUUUAAAUCCCUUAACGAGGAACAAUUGGAGGGCAAGUCUGGUGCCAGCAGCCGCGGUAAUUCCAGCUCCAAUAGCGUAUAUUAAAGUUGUUGCAGUUAAAAAGCUCGUAGUUG
RNAcentral lists this ribosomal RNA (344 nucleotides) under uncultured fungus. RNAcentral's name for it is "SSU rRNA". It matches the Rfam family "Eukaryotic small subunit ribosomal RNA", at positions 292 to 636 of the family's 1831-position model. Lineage: Eukaryota; Fungi. The record is from RNAcentral.